Molecule: small RNA, 1022 nt
Filed under: Pan troglodytes (chimpanzee)
Lineage: Eukaryota; Metazoa; Chordata; Mammalia; Primates; Hominidae
Description: retained intron
Source: RNAcentral
UCCCGCGGGCACAUUGGGAGUUGUAGUCUAAUUAUAUAUUUCCGCCCUUAGUGUGGGGAGAGCGGGAACUACUCGACCCACAGAGCCGAUCGCGGAGCGGAUUCUGCUUUUAGGAGUACCCGCCAACAAGCGGGACCGAGCAGGAAUCCGUAUCUGGGAACAGAAUGAACGGAGACCAGAAUUCAGAUGUUUAUGCCCAAGAAAAGCAGGAUUUCGUUCAGCACUUCUCCCAGAUCGUUAGGGUGCUGACUGAGGAUGAGAUGGGGCACCCAGAGAUAGGAGAUGCUAUUGCCCGGCUCAAGGAGGUCCUGGAGUACAAUGCCAUUGGAGGCAAGUAUAACCGGGGUUUGACGGUGGUAGUAGCAUUCCGGGAGCUGGUGGAGCCAAGGAAACAGGAUGCUGAUAGUCUCCAGCGGGCCUGGACUGUGGGCUGGUGUGUGGAACUGCUGCAAGCUUUCUUCCUGGUGGCAGAUGACAUCAUGGAUUCAUCCCUUACCCGCCGGGGACAGAUCUGCUGGUAUCAGAAGCCAGGCGUGGGUUUGGAUGCCAUCAAUGAUGCUAACCUCCUGGAAGCAUGUAUCUACCGCCUGCUGAAGCUCUAUUGCCGGGAGCAGCCCUAUUACCUGAACCUGAUCGAGCUCUUCCUGCAGGUGUAUUGCAGACAGGGCCCGAUGCCCAGAGGGUGCUCAUGGUAGCCUUGGCCUCUAUAGGACAUGCUCAUCUAGCUGGUUUCAGGGUACAGGAUUGCAGCGUGCCUGGAAGGGAAAGAAAGCGAGGAAGGGUGUUGGGAAGUGGGGUUGUGGUAGUGGCAAGAAAGGGCUUCUCUGUCCUGUGUAAUUGGAAGAAAGGGUGAUAAAGGACUGUGUGUAUGAAUAUGGGCCUUGAGUUUUGGGGCUUUCUCCCCUUCUGUUGCCUUUCUGAUUCUGCCCAGUUGUCAGCUGGUAUGGGAUGUUGGGCUUGGGAUACCAGGGUUUCGCAUAUCUGGAGAAAGCCUGGCUCAUGGACCGUCUUUGUCUUGCUUA